AGCCUUUUCACACAUUAGGAGCUUUCGAUCAGGGCUCCUCGGGAAUCCAAUUCAAGUGUUUGAUGAUGCCUGUGUAAAUGAGAUGAGAAGAAGCUCCAGGGGAGUCAAUCAACCCACUGUGGACGUGUGGAGUACAAAAUGAGAUGUUUUGCUGGGAAAGGCCCGCUCUGUUUCCUUUGAAAUGUACUUCAGAUCUGCAGAGCAACAGGGCGUGUAAGCUGUCAAUUUCACUCAAUGAACAUAGGGGGUCCCCUGUUCAGACAUGUCCUUAGACACGUGUGGGGAAAUCCUUUUUGGCCUGUGACUUUCAGUGGAGUGAAUGAUGCAACUUGCUCUCCCCUGCCUCAUUUUGUUUUUCCAGUUACACGAGCCAGACUUCAGCUCAUGUUUUAGUGAUAAUAGCAAAAAUGAUCCUUGAAUUUAAGUCUAAUGUGCAA
Molecule: long non-coding RNA, 437 nt
Organism: Syzygium oleosum
Lineage: Eukaryota; Viridiplantae; Streptophyta; Magnoliopsida; Myrtales; Myrtaceae
Exons: 2
Source: RefSeq, a predicted model, not a curated record